GAUGAACGCUGGCGGCGUGCUUAACACAUGCAAGUCGAACGGGAAACCUUUUAUUGAAGCUUCGGCAGAUUUAGCUGGUUUCUAGUGGCGGACGGGUGAGUAACGCGUGGGUAACCUGCCUUAUACAGGGGGAUAACAACCAGAAAUGGUUGCUAAUACCGCAUAAGCGCACAGGACCGCAUGGUCCGGUGUGAAAAACUCCGGUGGUAUAAGAUGGACCCGCGUUGGAUUAGCUAGUUGGCAGGGUAACGGCCUACCAAGGCGACGAUCCAUAGCCGGCCUGAGAGGGUGAACGGCCACAUUGGGACUGAGACACGGCCCAGACUCCUACGGGAGGCAGGAGUGGGGAAUAGUGCACAAUGGGGGAAACCCUGAUGCAGCGACGCCGCGUGAAGGAAGAAGUAUCUCAGUAUGUAAACUUCUAUCAGCAGGGAAGAUAGUGACGGUACCUGACUAAGAAGCCCCGGCUAACUACGUG
RNAcentral lists this ribosomal RNA (478 nucleotides) under uncultured bacterium. RNAcentral's name for it is "partial 16S ribosomal RNA". It matches the Rfam family "Bacterial small subunit ribosomal RNA", at positions 28 to 507 of the family's 1533-position model. The record is from RNAcentral.